Molecule: ribosomal RNA, 492 nt
Filed under: uncultured bacterium
Lineage: Bacteria
Description: bacterial SSU rRNA
Rfam family: Bacterial small subunit ribosomal RNA
Source: RNAcentral
CCUCUGAUUGAACGCUGGCGGAAUGCUUUACACAUGCAAGUCGAACGGCAGCAUAGGUGCUUGCACCUGAUGGCGAGUGGCGAACGGGUGAGUAAUACAUCGGAACGUGCCCAGUCGUGGGGGAUAACGUAGCGAAAGUUACGCUAAUACCGCAUACGAUCUACGGAUGAAAGCGGGGGACCGUAAGGCCUCGCGCGAUUGGAGCGGCCGAUGUUAGAUUAGGUAGUUGGUGGGGUAAAGGCUCACCAAGCCGACGAUCUAUAGCUGGUCUGAGAGGAUGAUCAGCCACACUGGGACUGAGACACGGCCCAGACUCCUACGGGAGGCAGCAGUGGGGAAUUUUGGACAAUGGGCGCAAGCCUGAUCCAGCCAUUCCGCGUGCAGGACGAAGGCCUUCGGGUUGUAAACUGCUUUUGUACAGAACGAAAAGCUCUGGGUUAAUACCCUGGGGUCAUGACGGUACUGUAAGAAUAAGCACCGGCUAACUACGUG